Bacillus sp. FJAT-27264 is the source of this 226-nucleotide non-coding RNA. The record is from Rfam. NCBI's taxonomy places the organism in Bacteria, Bacillati, Bacillota, Bacilli, Caryophanales, Bacillaceae.
AAUUUGGAGAGUUUGAUCCUGGCUCAGGACGAACGCUGGCGGCGUGCCUAAUACAUGCAAGUCGAGCGGACUUGAUGGAGUGCUUGCACUCCUGAUGGUUAGCGGCGGACGGGUGAGUAACACGUAGGCAACCUGCCCCACAGACUGGGAUAACUACCGGAAACGGUAGCUAAUACCGGAUAAUUCCUUUUGGCUCCUGCUAGGAGGAUGAAAGACGGAGCAAUCU